RNAcentral lists this long non-coding RNA (485 nucleotides) under Catharus ustulatus (Swainson's thrush). RNAcentral describes it as "lncRNA (ENSCUSG00005000097.1)". Lineage: Eukaryota; Metazoa; Chordata; Aves; Passeriformes; Turdidae. The record is from RNAcentral.
GCCCCAUCCAGCCCACCACUAAGGCUGCUUAAAGCAAAGGCAGGUUCAGAUCACCCUCCUCAAGUUUUGGAUUCAGCCCCAAAAGCUCUUUUCCUGCAGGCUGCUGUACUUGUUCCCAAUCCUCUCAGCUCUGGAGAUGCUCAAGCCUCCCCACUGCCUGCACUCUGGGGCAGGAUGGCAGAGCCCACACUGACCUGAGACCCCAUGUGUGGGGGAAAAACCAGCUGUGUACAUCAGCAGCAAGGAUAAUUCUUCUCAGCAGCCCUUGCAAAGUGUCUGAAGAGGAUGUUCCUGGGCAGCUCAGCAGCACUACUCUGGCUGCAGCUCACUCGUGGGAGCAACUAGGAUGUGUUACAAGGCAGCAGCUCAGCACAGGCAGGGAAUGAAAGUACAAUGCCUUCCCUCCCUGCUUGCCAAGGAUUGCAGGGCCUGGAGAUGGAGGGUGGCACAAAGGUAAGUGGGAUGCCACAGCAUCACUGCAAUCU